UACUGAACAGGGCUCCUUUUAUCCAGCCAUGCACCAACAUUCCCAGAGAACCACAGCUUACCUUGGACCUUAGGGUUGUCUAUGUGGUACAGCAAAACACAUUAGAGGGGUGUGAUCUGUAAACUGCUCUAACUGCUCUGUAUAGACCCUGCUGGCAUGAACUAAAAUGUACCUAGUUUAUGUUAAAGUGCACAGUGUGCUCAACAAAUCAUACCCCUUCAAUUUGCUUUGCCAAGACCAUGGAGCUAGGCUGUGAUACAUGAUCACCACGCAAAAUCAGCCUUAGUAGGUAAAACUCAAGCCUAGCUAUGCAGCCAAGCAUUACAGCACCAUGAGAAAAGCCCAGGUUUGGAAGAGAACUUUUGGACAUGCACUUGACAGCUACUAUAGUGGAAACUGUAUCAAUUGAAGAGGUGCCACACCAUCUCAGGACAGAAGGGUGUUAAUACAGUUGAGAGUGAAAGACCUGGAUUUUACUCCUUCGUGUGCACUAUCAAUGAUGGUUUCUAAAAUUCAACCAGUUUUACCAGUGUGAACCCAUUCAAGAUCCUGUAAGAUUCUGGAUUUAUAACAUCACAAUUCUUUGGCAUGGAAAUGUUGAUGCUGCACUGUUACAAUGUGAUUUCCCCAUAACAGGAAAAGAAAUGGCUUGAGUUAACAAGUGCUCCCAGCUAUGCAGAAGCAACAUAGGGAAAUCCCUCAAA
Mauremys reevesii (Reeves's turtle) is the source of this 704-nucleotide long non-coding RNA. RefSeq lists it as uncharacterized. The record is from RefSeq and is a predicted model, not a curated record. Lineage: Eukaryota; Metazoa; Chordata; Testudines; Geoemydidae. The transcript has 3 exons.